AUUGAUAAAGUUAGUCUCCAAAGCAAGGAAAUCUUAAAAGUAAGAGCUGCACUGGAGGAAAAAUUAAAACAGAAGGGAGUUUUUAGUUCCUUUGCUUCAAAGCUUAAGAAAGCAAAGAAACAUGCAAAAUCAGUGAACUGACAAUUUGAAACAUAUGAUGAUUUCGAUUAUGAUACUUUAGAUGUUGAGAAACGAAAUCAUGGAUUGAGAAAUGGGCAUACAAGCUUGUUGAGUUCAAAUAAAUUCUCACAGCUUUUUCUGCUAAACCAAAUAAACCCAAGGUCAUUUAUGGUGACGAGGAUUUACCUAAGAGAGAUGAUAUUGGAAAAAGAAGAAGGAAACUCAAAGUUUUGGCAGGUGCAGGAAUCAAGUCUGAGGAUGAUCCUGUAAAUAAACAGGGCACAUUUGACCCUGAUGAAGCCUCUGGCAUGGAAGAGGAUAGUGAUGCAGGAGUUUCAGAAGAUGAAUUCUACAAAGAAACAAAGCAAAAGAGGGAUGCAAAAAUAGCUGCUAAAGCUAAAAUAUAUAUACAAGGAACCCAGCAGUCCUAUUUUUGCCUGAAAUCGUUGAUGGAAAACGGCAAAUCACUUAC
RNAcentral lists this unclassified non-coding RNA (592 nucleotides) under Hevea brasiliensis (rubber tree). The record is from RNAcentral. Lineage: Eukaryota; Viridiplantae; Streptophyta; Magnoliopsida; Malpighiales; Euphorbiaceae.